AGAAUCUUCCUAAAUAAUAAAUAAAUAAUAAUAAUAUUAUAUAAUAAUGUAUUAAACUUAUUUUUAGUGAAUACAAAAUGUAACUUAAGAUCAGUGGAAGUGUUUGUUUUAAGUUGUGUGCACUCUAGAUAGCUUUAUCUUGUGCUUAAAUUUUGCGUAGGUUUUAUAUUCAAUUCGUGCAAAUGAAGCCUGGUAAAAGUGCAGACGUGCGGGAGGAGAUAGUGGAAAUUCAUUCCGUAGCUCGGUCUCCUUCUCCGAAGCACAAAACUAAGCCACGAUCGAGAAGUCGGUCCGGACCGCGAAAGUUGUCAAACGGGCACUCAGAGACCCCAGAAGUGGUCGAAACUCCUGCUGUUGAAGAACAGACUACAGACAGGUCUAAGCGUGACAGCUGGAUCAAGUCUGAGCAAGAAUCUUUAGACAUAGAGCUGCCUAUUCACGAUCAACUCAAGGAUCAAAUCCUAGGAUUUGUUGAAAAGGAAAUUAAGAAGUCUGAUAAGAAUCCCUCGUUCGUGUUUUAUUCUCAUGAUCCUACUGGUUUGGAUGAGAAGUUCAUGAAGAAUUUAUCCCGGCCAUCGAGUGGUCAUAAAGAAAAAAGGAGCCCGUCAUCUAGAAAGAAGAAGAGGCAUUCAUCAAAGCAUAGAGAUAGAGAUUUGCAUGAUUUUGAAAUACCUGGAUCUAGUCUUAGUGCGUUAGAAAAGGUUGAUGACUAUCUAAAGGAAUACAACAAGGAUGAGGUGGUAACUCUAAGUGGUGAACUAGAGAUAGAAGCAAAUGAUGUAGAAAACAACAAUGGGUCAUCGAAGGAGCACAAACCUAGAAAGACUCGACGGAAAGUGAGGGAAGAGAGACAAGACACCAAUGCCAAUGGGAGUGAUGUCAGCCCUAAGGUGUUCAAAGCUGGCAGUAAAUGUAAAGGUGGAGGCAAAGCAGUUCGCCCAACAGACUUAUCCACAAUGCUGGAAUCUCUUGAAUCCAGUAUGCCGUACCAUGACCAGUAUAUAGACAACCCCUUCUCCUCACCGUCACCUCUCACUUCACCCAACGAUGAGAGGCUCAAUCCCUUUGGCUCUCGGAGGCCGGAGAAGAUCUACAUGCAGGGUGGAGGAACAUUUAGAGCUGUGUCCAGGGAUAGAAUCUUGGAAUCACAGCAGUCUAGGAAUGAAGAUAAAUACUUGAGACUGGGCGACCUGACGCCGCUGGACGUGGCGCUGACCGCGCAGAAGGCCUGGCGCAGCUGCGCGUACGCCUGCCACGGCGUGCUCGGCGGCGUGUCGCUCAUGCACCUACUGCUGAUCAGCUAUUCUGACAGUUUGGACGCGGGGCAUCUGUCCUUCCACGCGGUCGUCACUAUGCCAUACGUCGCUACAUACUACUUUCUUUGUGUGUUGUGUCUGCUCUCAGUGUUGGAUAGGCUAGACGUUACAAGUUUGGACCUGAGCCGGGGCCUGCAGCCCUACUUCCAGCCCAUCGUGCUGGUGAUCCUGUACAUGGCUUGUCUGUUGGUGUGCACGGCGGCGCGCAUGUACGACGACCUCAUGGUGUAUCAGUACGCGCCAAUGGUCGCCAACUAUACCAAUGUUACCACUGUAAGUACUACUUCCAGCCCAUCGUGCUGGUGAUCCUGUACAUGGCUUGUCUGUUGGUAUGCACGGCGGCGCGCAUGUACGACGACCUCAUGGUGUAUCAGUACGCGCCAAUGGUCGCCAACUAUACCAAUGUUACCACUCCGACCAUCCCCUCGUUUUACCACACGUGGACGCACUUCUCGAUCUGGCGUGCCGUGUUGUCUAUCCUGGGCCUGGUGUACUUCGUGAUAUCCGAGCCCCCGGAUCUGGUGCUCGCCAACCUGACCAAACUGCUCCAUUACAAGCACUCGUUGCAGAGCAUCGGAUGAUGGCCUUGAGUGGGUUUUGGCUUUGACUUAGUUCAUAAUGCUCGGUGAUGUUUAUUAAACAAAUGCUAGCACGGUUUUGUGAAACUUUACGAAGAGCGCGAUGUCGUCUAUUUAAUUCAGUUGCGCCCACAAUUACGACCAGCGGGCGCAGCACGGUUGCAUUUUUAUCGCUUGACACCAUGCCUGUCACGUUCUAACAAGUAUGUAAGUGCGAAAGUGACGGGCAUAGUGACAGGCGAUAAAAAUUAAACCAUGCUGCGCCCGCAGUACUUAUUAAAUAUAUUAAUAAUGAGUCACUCACAUAUUUUAAGUCGAAAAAGUCAGAGUAUUUUAAGUUAAUAUGUCUGUGUCUCACGGAAGUUUUGUUAUUAAAACGACCAGUACUUG
Cydia strobilella is the source of this 2284-nucleotide RNA transcript. RefSeq lists it as uncharacterized. NCBI's taxonomy places the organism in Eukaryota, Metazoa, Arthropoda, Insecta, Lepidoptera, Tortricidae. The record is from RefSeq and is a predicted model, not a curated record. The transcript is spliced from 6 exons.